AGCUGGUCGGCAUGGACGGGUUGGACCGAAGGGUCUGUUUCUAUGCUGUACAUCUCUAUGACUCUAUAUGCAUGACUAAAUCAUGCAAUGCAUUUUUGCCUUCUGAUAGAGGUCAUAAUUUUCAGAUACUUAGAAUGUGCUGGCCAGAGGGACUAAACUAUUAAGAUUGGGAUUUUAUUUGAUAGGAAUGAACUUUAUCUAUCUUUUCUAGGGUAAGACCAACUAUGAAAAUGAUAUGGAUUGCAUCCAGGAACAAACGGGGAAGAAAAUUCCAUCCAACCAACAUCAACUGAUUCCAUAAAAUUUGCAUGGAGCACAAGGUUUCCCAAUGCUUCCAAGAGCAAAUCCUGCAAGAUUAACCACAGGGACAGAGUUUAUUAGGCCACUGGGCAGUGUGUUUCAUUAAAUGCUGCAGACACAUUAACACACUGCACCCAGUCCCUGACCUCCACUUCCAGUUGAGUCAUAAUAUGCAAAACCCCAGCACAAAUGUCAGCAGCCUUUUCAUGGUGUACUUUAAAGACAGACUCACUUAUAAAAUUAUUCACCCUGUUAGAAUGUUCCCAUAGCCUUUUACAGCUUCAAAAAAAUUAUUUCAGUGACAGAGUGGGUGUGCUGAUCAAGGGCAACAGGACCAAAGAGCUACCAGCCCAAACAGAUGGCUUUCGAAAAAAAGUCAGGUGAGGGUCUGGUUGACAGGCGGAUCAGUGAGGCAAACCCUGGAAGAUGGGGUAGGGGUUUUUGCUGAGGGCAGACAGCAGUAUUAUACUGAGUGGGACCUCUCAAUGGUCCUCUCCCUGUUCUACCCAACAGUAGCGGAGUGGGAAACAGCCGGGGUUUACCCGACAGCCUUCUUAUGCAAGGCAAGACCCUCUAAUCACUGGAAAAACUUAGUGAAUCCAUUAAAUGGCCAAUUACGGCCUCUUCCAUUGUUUGCGAAGCUCUGGAAUAGGUGGGCCAUCUGUCACCUUUCCUGCUGCUGCUGCUAAAAUGGCAGGGUGUCAGGAAGCUAACAGGCACACCACCCCAUCACCUCUCCACAUCAUUUUACCAGCCGCCUCCUCCUCAUUCCAUCUUUGAAGGGCUGCUAAAAUCCAGCCUAAGGAAGGAUACUUCAUAUGGUCAUUCAUAUCUGGUGUUGGGGUGGAAAGUGAGCACUGCUACUUCUUCUGAUAUUACAGUUGCAGCUGAGAUAAACUGUGGUUCCAUUUUCCCACUCCUCUCUCAUGCGAGACAGCACAUGGUUGAUUAAGUGCAAGCAUUGACAACUUGCACAGUGAUGAGGUGCAGAUAGCUCAACAAACUGAUUUGUGACAAAUCAAACGUGUGGAAUGAUUUUGAAUACGGUAUGGGAAAAUAAAAGGAAACAUUUGGAACAUUAAAACAAACAACAAACUACAGAUGCUGGAAAUGUGAAGUAAAGUUAAUGCUUCUAGUUGGUAAUCAUUCUUUCUCCAUGGAACCUGCCAAACUGGAAGGCAAUUUCAAACAACUCCUGAUUUUAUUGACACUAACUACUUUAGGAAAAUAUGUUGAACCAUUUUUUUUUCAUCUAAACAAAGUACAUGUUGUUCAGCUGAACAUGUCCAUGACAGAACUUGUGCUUUUACACAAAACUCUUCCUCACCUUAUUCAUUUAACCUCAUUGACAUGUUCUCAUUUUCUUUUACUCCUCCUGUUUAUUGAGCUUCUUCUUGGACACAUCUAUGUUAGCUGCCUCAAUUAACAAGAGAAUAGUAAGAAUGUUCCCCCUCAAAACCUCUUGGUCUUAUUGCUAUCUAUCUAGCUCACAUUUAUGAUCCCUGGUUCUGGUCUCGCCCACAAGUAAAAAACAUCUUGUCUACAUUUCAAAACUGUAUA
Chiloscyllium plagiosum (whitespotted bambooshark) is the source of this 1860-nucleotide non-coding RNA. NCBI's taxonomy places the organism in Eukaryota, Metazoa, Chordata, Chondrichthyes, Orectolobiformes, Hemiscylliidae. The record is from RefSeq and is a predicted model, not a curated record.